ACGGGUGAGUAACGCGUAGGUGACCUACCCCUCGAGAGGGGGAUAACUGGGGGAAACCUCAGCUAAUACCCCAUACGUUCCUACCUAUAAGCAGGUAGGAAGAAAGGGAGCAAUAGCUCUGCUGAGGGAGGGGCCUGCGACCCAUCAGGUAGUUGGUGAGGUAACGGCUCACCAAGCCUACGACGGGUAGCCGGUCUGAGAGGAUGGCCGGCCACAAGGGCACUGAGACACGGGCCCUACUCCUACGGGAGGCAGCAGUGGGGGAUUUUGGACAAUGGGCGAAAGCCUGAUCCAGCGACGCCGCGUGCGGGACGAAGCCCUUCGGGGUGUAAACCGCUGUGGUGGGAGACGAAUAAGGUGAGGAGUGGAAAGCCUCACUGAUGACGGUAUCCCACUAGAAAGCCCCGGCUAACUACGUGCCAGCAGCCGCGGUAAUACGUAGGGGGCGAGCGUUACCCGGAUUUACUGGGCGUAAAGGGGGCGUAGGCGGCCGUGAAAGUCCGGUGUGAAAACUCACGGCUCAACCGUGGGACUGCGCUGGAAACUACACGGCUUGAGGACGGUAGAGGGAGACGGAACUGCUGGUGUAGGGGUGAAAUCCGUAGAUAUCAGCAGGAACGCCGGUGGAGAAGUCGGUCUCCUGGGCCGUUCCUGACGCUGAGGCCCGAAAGCUAGGGGAGCAAACCGGAUUAGAUACCCGGGUAGUCCUAGCCGUAAACGAUGCCCACUAGGUGUGGGGGAGUAAUUCCUCCGUGCUGAAGCUAACGCGAUAAGUGGGCCGCCUGGGGAGUAUGCCCGCAAGGGUGAAACUCAAAGGAAUUGACGGGACCCCGCACAAGCGGUGGAGCGUGUGGUUUAAUUGGACGCUAAGCCAAGAACCUUACCAGGGCUCGACAUGCUGGUGGUACUGACCCGAAAGGGGAGGGACCUGUGGCGUUAGUCACGGGAGCCAGCACAGGUGGUGCACGGUCGUCGUCAGCUCGUGCCGUGAGGUGUUGGGUUAAGUCCCGCAACGAGCGCAACCCCUGCCCUUAGUUGCCAGCGGUUCGGCCGGGCACUCUAAGGGGACUGCCGGCGACGAGCCGGAGGAAGGAGGGGAUGACGUCAGAUACUCGUGCCCCUUAUGCCCAGGGCGACACACGUGCUACAAUGGCCGGUACAGCGGGAAGCGAAGCCGGAGACCUGGAGCGGAUCUCUGAAAGCCGGUCCCAGUUCGGAUUGU
This 1222-nucleotide ribosomal RNA is filed under the name uncultured bacterium. RNAcentral's name for it is "bacterial SSU rRNA". It matches the Rfam family "Bacterial small subunit ribosomal RNA", at positions 102 to 1301 of the family's 1533-position model. The record is from RNAcentral.